CCAACGUUAUUUGGCAUGUAUGCGAAAUAGAGGGUCUGCACUUUCAGGCCUUCGCAAAAAUUUGUUUUAGAUUUUGAAGAUUUUAUCUUUGGUUCUACUGCUAAUCAGAUAAGUAUUUGAUCUUUAUUCUUGUAAAUUAAUAGAAAACUUUUAGAUGCAACCUAGACUAUCUGAAGAAAAAUAGUUUCUCUUCCCUUCAGGAUUCAGGAAGGAUGGC
This 217-nucleotide long non-coding RNA is filed under the name Elaeis guineensis (African oil palm). RNAcentral's name for it is "long non-coding RNA (EGUI_LNC081960)". Lineage: Eukaryota; Viridiplantae; Streptophyta; Magnoliopsida; Arecales; Arecaceae. The record is from RNAcentral.